Molecule: long non-coding RNA, 480 nt
Filed under: Bos taurus (domestic cattle)
Lineage: Eukaryota; Metazoa; Chordata; Mammalia; Artiodactyla; Bovidae
Description: long non-coding RNA NONBTAT024752
Source: RNAcentral
UGCACGCCUGGGGGCUGAAAGGUAAAGAGAGGAUGGGGGAGAAACCGAUAAUUUUAAACAUUGCUUUUAGAGAACAAAGUAGAGAUUAAAAUCCAGGUGUUCUUGUGAAUAUUCUAUUGCUAUAGUAUUGACUUUCAGAACUGGGUUAGUUGGGUUAGUUGACAAGGACUGUCUGGGCAUAGGCAGGAAUGGAGAAAAGCUAAAUGUCGAGAACAGUGGAAUUCAUAGUAAUUCUUUUAAAACCUUCAUUUUAGAAUAAAUAUUUUUUGGUUCCUACAAGAUGCAUCUUAAAUUGAUUUUUUUUUUUUUUUGUCAAUAGUUUGAAUUCUGUGCUAGAGGCUGGUCUAGGAACUAAGUUCUUGGAUUUCACAAGUAUUGUUUCUUCACAGAUUAGUUUGUGUUAUUUUUGAAGUAUUAAUAUAUAAAAACAUCUUCCUCUUUUUGCCUUUAAAUGGUAAUGCCAUUUUUCCUUACCCUGUA